GUGAACGUGGUGGUGUAGGUUGAAGCAGCGGAGGAGGAGGAGGAUGAGGUAGCUAACACUGUUUUAUAUAUAUAUAUAUAUUUUUAUUUGGGGUAGCCCCCAAAAUAUUGGAACAUAUAUAAAAAGACAACCCUGUUCCACAGAGUAGCUGUUGACAUUAUGGUUGCGCAGGCACUUUGUUGACUCUGGAGAACCUCGGGCCAAUCGCACAUCCCCGUGGUGGUGACUUUGCAUGCGGAUGUCAUCCAUAUAAACUUUCGAUGCCAGUUUCUGCGCCUACCAUGGUGACCACAGGUAACGGGGAAUCAGGGUUCCAUUCCGUACAGGGUCCCUGAGAAACGGCUACCACAUGCAAGGAAGGCAGCAGGCGUGCAAAUGACCCACUCCUGACGCGGGAAGGUAGUGAC
Molecule: non-coding RNA, 407 nt
Organism: Pelobates cultripes (western spadefoot toad)
Lineage: Eukaryota; Metazoa; Chordata; Amphibia; Anura; Pelobatidae
Source: the annotation of a GenBank genome assembly